This 530-nucleotide ribosomal RNA is filed under the name uncultured bacterium. RNAcentral's name for it is "partial 16S ribosomal RNA". It matches the Rfam family "Bacterial small subunit ribosomal RNA", at positions 355 to 874 of the family's 1533-position model. The record is from RNAcentral.
UGGGGAAUAUUGCACAAUGAGCGCAAGCCUGAUGCAGCCAUGCCGCGUGUGUGAAGAAGGCCUUCGGGUUGUAAAGCACUUUCAGCGAGGAGGAAGGUGGUGAGCUUAAUACGCUCAUCAAUUGACGUUACUCGCAGAAGAAGCACCGGCUAACUCCGUGCCAGCAGCCGCGGUAAUACGGAGGGUGCAAGCGUUAAUCGGAAUUACUGGGCGUAAAGCGCACGCCGGCGGUUUGUUAAGUCAGAUGUGAAAUCCCCGGGCUCAACCUGGGAACUGCAUUUGAAACUGGCAAGCUAGAGUCUCGUAGAGGGGGGUAGAAUUCCAGGUGUAGCGGUGAAAUGCGUAGAGAUCUGGAGGAAUACCGGUGGCGAAGGCGGCCCCCUGGACGAAGACUGACGCUCAGGUGCGAAAGCGUGGGGCAGCAAACAGGAUUAGAUACCCUGGUAGUCAGCGCUGUAAACGAUGUCGAUUUUGGAGGUUGUGCCCUUGAGGCGUGGCUUCCGGAGCUAACGCGUUAAAGUCGACCGCCU